Molecule: ribosomal RNA, 492 nt
Filed under: uncultured bacterium
Lineage: Bacteria
Description: partial 16S ribosomal RNA
Rfam family: Bacterial small subunit ribosomal RNA
Source: RNAcentral
AGUGAACGCUGGCGGUAGGCCUAACACAUGCAAGUCGAACGGCAGCACAGUAAGAGCUUGCUCUUACGGGUGGCGAGUGGCGGACGGGUGAGGAAUACAUCGGAAUCUACUUUUUCGUGGGGGAUAACGUAGGGAAACUUACGCUAAUACCGCAUACGACCUACGGGUGAAAGCAGGGGAUCUUCGGACCUUGCGCGAUUGAAUGACCCGAUGUCGGAUUAGCUAGUUGGCGGGGUAAAGGCCCACCAAGGCGACGAUCCGUAGCUGGUCUGAGAGGAUGAUCAGCCACACUGGAACUGAGACACGGUCCAGACUCCUACGGGAGGCAGCAGUGGGGAAUAUUGGGCAAUGGGCGCAAGCCUGAUCCAGCCAUACCGCGUGGGUGAAGAAGGCCUUCGGGUUGUAAAGCCCUUUUGUUGGGAAAGAAAAGCAGCAGGUUAAUACCCCGCUGUUCUGACGGUACCCAAAGAAUAAGCACCGGCUAACUUCGUG